This 305-nucleotide unclassified non-coding RNA is filed under the name uncultured Lecanorales. RNAcentral's name for it is "sequence contains ITS1". The stretch from base 1 to 105 matches the Rfam family "5.8S ribosomal RNA", at positions 50 to 154 of the family's 154-position model. The record is from RNAcentral. Lineage: Eukaryota; Fungi; Ascomycota; Lecanoromycetes.
GAAAUGCGAUAACUAAUGUGAAUUGCAGAAUUCAGUGAAUCAUCGAAUCUUUGAACGCACAUUGCGCCCCUCGGUACCCCGGGGGGCAUGCCUGUUCGAGCGUCAUUGCAUCCUUCAAGCGCAGCUUGGUCUUGGGUUUUCGCCCCCUAAAAAGGGCGUACCUCAAAAGUAGUGGCGGUCCGGAGCGUCUUACGAACGAAGUAAAUAUCAUCCGUUCAGAAAGUGCGCUCCCGUGACCGGCCAUAACCCGAUUUUUUAAUUCAACGGUUGACCUCGGAUCAGGUAGGGAUACCCGCUGAACUUAA